This 89-nucleotide non-coding RNA is filed under the name Acetomicrobium hydrogeniformans ATCC BAA-1850. RNAcentral describes it as "Anaerobaculum hydrogeniformans ATCC BAA-1850 c-di-GMP-II-GAG riboswitch aptamer". It matches the Rfam family "c-di-GMP-II-GAG riboswitch aptamer". Lineage: Bacteria; Thermotogati; Synergistota; Synergistia; Synergistales; Acetomicrobiaceae. RNAcentral also lists the same sequence under 1 other name. The record is from Rfam by way of RNAcentral.
GGUUUAGGGGAAACGAUGAUCCCUUUGCAUCUCUGAUGACGGGCGCAAGAGCGAAGGGGGAGUGAGUAGCGCGACCGGCCCCGUAGAGC